AGCGCGAAGCACAUCACCUACCCUUGACAUGUCCGUAAGCCAUCAGAGAGGGCCGCGUGCCGGACAGGGAGCCGUAACACAGGUGGUGCAUGGCAGUCGUCAGCUCGUGUCGUGAGAUGUUGUCCUAAGUCCAGCACGAGCCGCAACCCUUGUCCCUAGCUGGUAAGCAAGGGCACUCUAGGGAGACUGCCUGGGUUAACCAGGAGGAAGGUGAGGAUGACGUCAAGUCCGCAUGGCCCUUAUGUCUGGGGCUACACACGUGCUACAAUGGUCGGUACAGAAGGCAGCGAAACCGCAAGGCGGAGCAAAUCCCAAAAGCCGAUCUCAGUUCAGAUUGUAGUCUGCAACUCGACUACAUGAAGACGGAAUUGCUAGUAAUGGCGUGUCAGCAACAACGCCGGAAUACGUUCCCGGUCUGACACCCAAGG
RNAcentral lists this ribosomal RNA (428 nucleotides) under uncultured bacterium. RNAcentral describes it as "bacterial SSU rRNA". It matches the Rfam family "Bacterial small subunit ribosomal RNA", at positions 958 to 1377 of the family's 1533-position model. The record is from RNAcentral.